GCUGCUGUGUGCAUGACUGAUUGGACCCGAAAUAAAAUUUUCUCACUCCUUUUUUUUUUUUUUGAUGGAUCUAAGCAAACAUAUGAUGCUUUGGAUAAACUAAUGUAUUUGGUAGAAGUCCAUGCAGUUUUGAUGAAGAAUACUCGAUGUACAGGCGGGAGUGCAUGAUCUGCUCGGUCGCUCAGAGCAGCUCACAGGCUAAAGGGUAUCCCUGCUAACACACAACAUACCAGUAAUUUAUUCGUCCUUUUUGGUAAUUUCAUGACUUACUAACAGGCAACAUAACUGUAAUGUCACAGGCCCGUAAUUUAAUUACCAUUAUAUGACUAAUUCACAACAUCAUAUUUAAGUCCUCCUAAUGCUGCAAGCUUACCCAGAAUGGUCCAGUUACUUAAUAUAUAUGUAAUAUUUUGUUAAUUCCAUGACUUACUGACAACGUAACUGCAACAUCAUGGGCCCAUAAUUUCAUUACCAUUAUAUGACUAAUUCACAACAUCGUAUUUACAUCCUCCUAAUGUUGUAAGCUUACCCAGAAUGGUCCAGUUACAUAAUAUAUACGUAAUAUUUAGGUAAUUCCAUGACUUACUGACAAUGUAACUGCAACGUCAUGGGCCCAUAAUUUCAUUACAAUUAUAUGACUAAUUUACAACAUCGUAUUUACGUCCUCCUGAUGUUGCAAGCUUACCCAGAAUGGUCCAGUUACUUAAUAUAUACGUAAUAUUUUUGUAAUUCCAUGACUUAAGGACAACGUAACUGCAACAUCAUGGGCCCAUAAUUUCAUUACCAUUAUAUGACUAAUUCACAACAUCGUAUUUACAUCCUCCUAAUGUUGUAAGCUUACCCAGAAUGGUCCAGUUACAUAAUAUAUACGUAAUAUUUAGGUAAUUCCAUGACUUACUGACAAUGUAACUGCAACAUCAUGGGCCCAUAAUUUAAUUACCAUUAUAUAACUAAUUCACAACGUCAUAUUUACGCCCUCCUAAUGUUGCAAGCUUACCCAGAAUGGUCCAAUAUGGUCCAGUUACAUAAUAUAUAUGUUUCUGUAAUAUAUAUAUUUCUGUAAUUCCAUGACUUACUGACAAUAUAACUGCAACAUGAGCCCAUAAUUUCAUUACGGAGUGGGAGAACCGCUGCCAGGGGCGGAGGAGACCCCUACCAUCCACCAAAAUGCGGCGGGGUGGUCCGUCCACCAGGGGACGGAGGACUGCCUCCGAUCCACCAGGGGAGAAGCGGCUGUCAUCCACUAGAGGGUGGAGGAAUGACCGAGGACCAGGCUACGGCGUAUCAGAGAACUGGCGAGUCCGAGAAGGUGGGGAAGACCCGCCGGCAGGCGGGGCCGGAAUAGCACGCCCAACAACCACAUCAGCAUAUUUGUCUGGUUUGGUGAGCUACUAAAUCAGACAUCAGAAGACUACAAAUGACAGUUCGGACUGCUGAGAGGAUUAUUGGUUGCCCCCUGCCCUCCCUUCAAGAACUAUACUUCCAGAGUGAGGAAAAGGGCUGGAAAAAUCACUCUGGACCCCACUCACCCAGCCCACUACCAUCUCUGAACGGUUUCCUUCUGAAAGGCGCUACAGAGCUCUGAGCACCAGAACCGUCAGGCACAGGAAAAAAUUUUUCCCUCAGGCUAUCCAUCUCAUGAACAGUUAAAACUGCCCCAUUGAGCAACAGUUAUGUGCAAAACACAGCUUAGUCUGUUUAUCUAACAUAUCCUACCUCUUCUGCCAUUACAUUCCCUUGCUUCUGUGUAUAACAGAUUUGUAUUUGUACAUACUGUAUAUAUAUAUAUAUAUAUAUAUAUAGUCUUGUUGUAUAUUUCUAUAUAUACUUAUAUUUUCUAUUCACUUUUUAUUUUUAUUCUAUUUUUUUUAGAUAUAAUUAUGUCUGCCUUGUAUUGUUUGUGCAUCAGGCCCGGCUCCACAGGGGGGCCUGGGUGAGCCUGGCCCACCCAAUCAUGUACUUGGCUCACCUUGAGAACUACACCUACACCUACCCCUCCAACUGUUCGGCCCAACCGGCGGGUCCUAUGGCCCACCUUACAUCUUAGAGCUGGAGCCAGGCCUGUUGUGCGCUGGAAGCUUCUGUCACCAAGGCUGCGUUCACUUCACUUUUAAUAUCCACUGGGUAACUUCCCCUCGGGGGAAUCCCCACCGCCAUUUUGGAAGUCCGUACCACUUCAUUAAUUGAGCGAGGGAAGUUUCUGUUGACAGACCCUCAACCCCUCGAUUUUGACAGAGGGAGUGAGCCUACUCUGAUGUAUAUUCAGGCAGCCCCAUAUCCCACAAUGCAACUCGAUUGUGACAUGACAGCAGAAUGCACUUCAUAAACCCCACCCCCACACAACUCUAAUGUAUGAUGAAAGUGAAGUUAGGUCAAUUAAGCAGUUUAGAAAAGUUAUAUUGAGAUUUAACCACGUAAUACUUGUAGCUACCUUAAACUGUUUGUCACACAUUUAUAGCCUAUGUGUUCAAUGUUAUGUUAACAUUUUCAUUUGUGUAAAUCUUGAUUAAUCCUUUCUAACAAUUCAUUCUAAUUAAAAAAGAAUUAAACUUACAAGAUUUAUACAUAAGCCUCUGAAAUCAAUCUCCGAAAACAUUGUUUUCUCAAGUGCAAAAAUCACUAAAUAAUUCCACAAACUGACAUCGGCCUUCAACAUGCUCCAAGUGAUCAAGGGUUAAGGGUGUUCCAGCUAAACACAUUGCACAGGUACGGCCAGUAGUGGACACUCUCACACCUUACGCAGUGACUAAUGGUACUUUUCCACUGCACGUUACGGUUCAACUCGACUCGACUCUGCUUGCUUUACUUUUCUGAGCUUGCUUUUCCACUGCAGUUUAGUGCAGCCCCAACUUGGGUGGGAUUAUAGGCUGAUCGUCAUAGUUGCGCCGCCUCUACUGCCGUGACAUCAUCAUAAACAAUAGCAUGACUGCUAGCUGUUAGCUACUAGCUCAUUGUGCUGCAUAAAGCAGUUGUUGCAUGGUGAUUUUACACAAGUGUAACAGUUAAAUUGGCCUGGUUGUUUUAGAAGCAAGCUUUUCAGUAGCUGGUCAACUAAAUAAAGUGAAGCUUUCAAGCAGAAUAUAGAGUUAACGUAACAAAACGUACCAUCCUCCAUAGUGGACUCCAACAACGCCAUGGCCGAGUCCAGGGCACUCUUCCUCCCAUUGCUCGCCGGUCUAUUGCCAUAGAUAGUGUCCAUUUGGUCGAAACACUUCCACUCUCUUCUGUUUGAACCACUCCGGCUGUUGUGGUCCUUGAUGGAUCUGUAGUCACUUUUAAGUUUUUUUUUAACUUUUCCCUACACUUUUGGUAGCCGUGUGCGGCCAACAGCUGAGACACUUCUUGAAAGACUUUUUCAUUUUGCGUCACUGCAUCCAGCUCUCGUUGGAUCCUCUCCUCAGCUACUAAUGAGAGGAACGUCUGCACCUCGUUUAUUGACCACAGCGUGGUUUUGCACACAGCCAUUUCUUUUUACAAUUCGAAAGUCACGUGAACAAAUGAUACUACUAUCGCUGUUGCUAACUUUAAAACUAACGGGUUGAUGUCCCGUGUUGCAAAUCCCAAUGAUGCUGGUAGUGACAAUUCUCUCUGACCAAUCAGUGACCUGCAGGGUAUUGACGUCACAUUUAGUAUCGGCUCGGCUCGCUUGGAAACUCGACCGAGGUGGUACUAAAAAAAGUACCAGGUACUAUCCACAGUGGAAAACCCCCAAAAAGUCGAGUUGAGUCGAGUCGAGCAGUACCGUGCAGGGGAAAAGCCCAAUAACAUCCGAGUCCAUGAGACGGAGUGAAGUUUGCGAGGGAAGGACAUAAAAAUUUGAAAUGGAAUGCAGCCCAAGACAGAUUACUUGUGUGUGUAAGCAUACUUGUCAAUAAAGCUCAUUCUG
Myxocyprinus asiaticus (Chinese sucker) is the source of this 3886-nucleotide long non-coding RNA. RefSeq lists it as uncharacterized. The transcript has 3 exons. The record is from RefSeq and is a predicted model, not a curated record. Lineage: Eukaryota; Metazoa; Chordata; Actinopteri; Cypriniformes; Catostomidae.